AUUGAACGCUGGCGGCAGGCCUAACACAUGCAAGUCGAACGGUAACAGGAAACAGCUUGCUGUUUCGCUGACGAGUGGCGGACGGGUGAGUAAUGUCUGGGAAACUGCCUGAUGGAGGGGGAUAACUACUGGAAACGGUAGCUAAUACCGCAUAACGUCGCAAGACCAAAGAGGGGGACCUUCGGGCCUCUUGCCAUCGGAUGUGCCCAGAUGGGAUUAGCUAGUAGGUGGGGUAACGGCUCACCUAGGCGACGAUCCCUAGCUGGUCUGAGAGGAUGACCAGCCACACUGGAACUGAGACACGGUCCAGACUCCUACGGGAGGCAGCAGUGGGGAAUAUUGCACAAUGGGCGCAAGCCUGAUGCAGCCAUGCCGCGUGUAUGAAGAAGGCCUUCGGGUUGUAAAGUACUUUCGGCGGGGAUGAAGGGAGUAAAGUUAAUACCUUUGCUCAUUGACGUUACCCGCAGAAGAAGCACCGGCUAACUCCGUG
Molecule: ribosomal RNA, 490 nt
Filed under: uncultured bacterium
Lineage: Bacteria
Description: partial 16S ribosomal RNA
Rfam family: Bacterial small subunit ribosomal RNA
Source: RNAcentral